UAGGUUUUCCCAGAAAAGGAGCUGCCAAGCUCUUCAGAACUCUGUCCUCACGAUAUUUCCCAACUUUUUUGACCAGGUUCUGUUAACAGUCCUUUUCCAAAUUUGUGCUGAGGUAAGGAGGACUGGAAAACAGUCCAUUGGGAAAUCAUCUGAGAGUGGGUUCAUGUGACAGCUCUUUCUGCGACUUGUCAUGCCGUGAAUAGCAGAGCAACAGCCUUUCAGCACUCAACCAUGUCACUGCCUGCCUUGCUUUUGAUGGAACUGGGCUGACCUCCGUGUCCAGCCGCGAAGGCAUUUUCUGUUUUACGAGUCGCGGUGAGCAGAGAGCCAGCAGUAUUUGGUAAGAAGAAAUUAAGUCAGCAGAAAAAAUGGUCACAAAGCCCAGCUGCCAAAUAUUUCCAUUACAGAGAGCUCUCAGUCAAGUGUCUGCAGACAUAAUGAACAGGAACUGCAGCCAAGCCCACAGAAAAUUGGGGACAAUUCACUGGGAAGUUCACAGGACAGGCUGCAGCUCAUUUAUCCUUGCUCAAGGUGGUUGCUGUUCACAGCUGAGUCUCCUGAGAGGAUUAGCAAUACAACUAAUGAAGACUAAUAAUGCAGGCCUUUGUCAGCAAACUGAAAGCCACCAGCUGGAAGAUAUCCCACACCACAUCUUGAAGCAGCCAUCACAGUGUCUGCAAGCUUGACAUGUCCUUCCCUCCUCUGAGCACCUUGUGACAGCACAGCAAAUAAACCAGCUCCUGUGUGUGUUUAGAUUGUACUC
This 763-nucleotide long non-coding RNA is filed under the name Cyanistes caeruleus (blue tit). RNAcentral describes it as "lncRNA (ENSCCEG00000013256.1)". Lineage: Eukaryota; Metazoa; Chordata; Aves; Passeriformes; Paridae. The record is from RNAcentral.